Molecule: transfer RNA, 73 nt
Filed under: bacterium
Lineage: Bacteria
Description: tRNA-Val
Rfam family: tRNA
About the family: Transfer RNA (tRNA) molecules are approximately 80 nucleotides in length. Their secondary structure includes four short double-helical elements and three loops (D, anti-codon, and T loops). Further hydrogen bonds mediate the characteristic L-shaped molecular structure. tRNAs have two regions of fundamental functional importance: the anti-codon, which is responsible for specific mRNA codon recognition, and the 3' end, to which the tRNAs corresponding amino acid is attached (by aminoacyl-tRNA synthetases). tRNAs cope with the degeneracy of the genetic code in two manners: having more than one tRNA (with a specific anti-codon) for a particular amino acid; and 'wobble' base-pairing, i.e. permitting non-standard base-pairing at the 3rd anti-codon position.
Source: RNAcentral
GGGCUCGUGGUUUAGCGGCUAUAACGGCGCCCUUACAAGGCGCAUGUCGCCAGUUCGAAUCUGGCCGGGCCCA